AGUGAACGCUGGCGGUAGGCCUAACACAUGCAAGUCGAACGGCAGCACAGUAAGAGCUUGCUCUUACGGGUGGCGAGUGGCGGACGGGUGAGGAAUACAUCGGAAUCUACUUUUUCGUGGGGGAUAACGUAGGGAAACUUACGCUAAUACCGCAUACGACCUACGGGUGAAAGCAGGGGAUCUUCGGACCUUGCGCGAUUGCAUGAGCCGAUGUCGGAUUAGCUAGUUGGCGGGGUAAAGGCCCACCAAGGCGAUGAUCCGUAGCUGGUCUGAGAGGAUGAUCAGACACACUGGAACUGAGACACGGUCCAGACUCCUACGGGAGGCAGCAGUGGGGAAUAUUGGACAAUGGGCGCAAGCCUGAUCCAGCCAUACCGCGUGGGUGAAGAAGGCCUUCGGGUUGUAAAGCCCUUUUGUUGGGAAAGAAAAGCAGCAGGUUAAUACCCCGCUGUUCUGACGGUACCCAAAGAAUAAGCACCGGCUAACUUCGUG
Molecule: ribosomal RNA, 492 nt
Filed under: uncultured bacterium
Lineage: Bacteria
Description: partial 16S ribosomal RNA
Rfam family: Bacterial small subunit ribosomal RNA
Source: RNAcentral